RNAcentral lists this long non-coding RNA (600 nucleotides) under Bos taurus (domestic cattle). RNAcentral's name for it is "long non-coding RNA NONBTAT001606". Lineage: Eukaryota; Metazoa; Chordata; Mammalia; Artiodactyla; Bovidae. The record is from RNAcentral.
UUCACUCCCAACAGAGUUUCUGAAGUAACUUUCUGAAGCCAGGGGACUCUGCUCAUCCCUUAUCCCGUUCUUUAUUAUGGCCCAAUAUUCCUUUCAGGGGUUUCCUUCCUUUCUGUUAAAAUACCUUAUCCACAGAGGAACUGGCAUGGACAUUUCAAGAACAAAAUAACACUCUUGAUAGUAAUGGUUGUCUCUCUCAAGUCAAGUACAUGCUUGUUGAUUACAAUCAGCACAAAAGAAAAUUUCAGCUUCAUAACAAUCGAAAAUUUGCUCCUACUUUGAAAUCCAGGAGUUUGGCUGGGGCCAUGAAGAACAGGAGGAGCCAAGGCUAAGGGGUUCAAAUGCAGAUGACUCCUUAAAGCAUGAACAAAGCUUGAUACCUGAUAGCAUGUAAAGGGUGCUCUCAGUAUUGAAAUAAGUCUCAUACAACUCAGUGUUACAGAGUAACGUUUGGAUUUUGGCAAGAUUUAGAGCAUUUCUUUGGGGGCGGAGAAUCAAUGCGCUAGGAUUAGCUAAAUCUGCGAAAGGUGAACUCUCAUUUCAUUCAGACAAGGACAGAUUUGAACAUUCAUUCAAGAAGAAUGGAUGUGUGCGUGACCC